UGNCGGCCGCCAGUGUGAUGGAUAUCUGCAGAAUUCGGCUUACGGCUCAGUAACACGUCGGUAACCUGCCCUGUGGUCGGAAAUAACCUCGGGAAACUGAGGGUAAUGUCCGAUAGGAGAUUUGGCCUGGAAUGGUAUUUCUCCCAAACACGUGCCAUAGGAUGGGCCGGCGGCUGAUUAGGCUGUUGGUGGGGUAACGGCCCACCAAACCUAAGAUCAGUACGGGCCUUGAGAGAGGUAGCCCGGAGAGGGACACUGAGAUACGGGUCCCAGCCCCACGGGGUGCAGCAGGCGCGAAACCUUUACAAUGCACGAAAGUGUGAUAGGGGGAUACUCAGUGCUUACGGCUCUGCUGUAGGCUUUUGUCGAUCGUAAAUAGAUCGGCGAAUAAGUGGUGGGUAAGACCGGUGCCAGCCGCCGCGGUAACCCCGGCGCCACAAGUGGUCAUCGCGAUUAUUGGGCCUAAAGCGUUCGUAGCCGGCUUGGUAAAUCUCUUGUGAAAUUGUUCGGCUUAACCGGACAGCGUGCAGGAGACACUGCCAAUCUCGAGACCGGGAGGCGUAAGAAGUAUGUCAUGGGGACUGGUAAAAUGGGAUAAUCCAUGAUAGACUACCGAUGGCGAAGGCAUCUUACGAGAACGGAUCUGACGGUGAGGAACGAAAGCCAGGGGAGCGAACCGGAUUAGAUACCCGAGUAGUCCUGGCCGUAAACGCUGUGAGCUAGGUGCUGCGUAUCUCAUGAAGAUGCGCGGUGUCGGAACGAAGGUGCUAAGCUCACCGCCUGGGAAGUACGGUCGCAAGACUGAA
RNAcentral lists this ribosomal RNA (806 nucleotides) under uncultured archaeon S15-4. Its description in RNAcentral is "bacterial SSU rRNA". It matches the Rfam family "Archaeal small subunit ribosomal RNA", at positions 52 to 853 of the family's 1478-position model. The record is from RNAcentral.